RNAcentral lists this ribosomal RNA (248 nucleotides) under uncultured bacterium. RNAcentral describes it as "partial small subunit ribosomal RNA". It matches the Rfam family "Bacterial small subunit ribosomal RNA", at positions 26 to 286 of the family's 1533-position model. The record is from RNAcentral.
AGAAUCAACGCUGGCGGCGUGCCUAACACAUGCAAGUCGAACGAGAAAGGGGUAGCAAUACCCUGAGUAAAGUGGCGCACGGGUGAGUAACACGUGACUAACCUACCCUGGAGUGGGGGAUAACUGAGGGAAACCUUAGCUAAUACCGCAUAAUACCCACGGGUCAAAGGAGCAAUUCGCUUCAGGAGGGGGUCGCGGCCGAUUAGUUAGUUGGCGGGGUAAUGGCCCACCAAGACGAUGAUCGGUAU